UGUAAAGAGGGGCUAGGCCCCAUAAAUGGAAUUACAACCCACCACCUAUUAACUCAGCCACCUUUAC
This 67-nucleotide transfer RNA is filed under the name Intellagama lesueurii (Eastern water dragon). RNAcentral's name for it is "tRNA-Tyr". The record is from RNAcentral. Lineage: Eukaryota; Metazoa; Chordata; Lepidosauria; Squamata; Agamidae.